Molecule: ribosomal RNA, 321 nt
Filed under: uncultured Nitrospira sp.
Lineage: Bacteria; Pseudomonadati; Nitrospirota; Nitrospiria; Nitrospirales; Nitrospiraceae
Description: bacterial SSU rRNA
Rfam family: Bacterial small subunit ribosomal RNA
Source: RNAcentral
ACUCCUACGGGAGGCAGCAGUAAUGCAAUAUUGCGCAAUGGACGACAGUCUGACGCAGCGACGCCGCGUGGGGGAUGAAGGUCUUCGGAUUGUAAACCCCUUUCGGGUGGAAAGAUGGCUCUCGACAACGAGAGCGGACGGUACCACCAGAAGCAGCCACGGCCAACUUCGUGCCAGCAGCCGCGGUAAUACGAAGGUGGCAAGCGUUGUUCGGAUUCACUGGGCGUACAGGGUGUGUAGGCGGUUCGGUAAGCCCUCUGGGAAAGCUCCUGGCUCAACCGGGAAAGUUCAGGGGGGACUGCCGGGCUAGAGGACGGGAGA